UUUAAAUUUCUCAGAAACUUGAAAUGGGGAUUGCUCAAACCCUAGCACCAGAUCAAAUCAACUAGGUUCAAAUAAAAAUAUUCUCAAUGAACCCAAAAUGAUCUUCAGAAAAGUUCAUUAUUUUUGGAUUGGUCUAGAACCUCUCCCAAAAAUGGUGCACAUUUUUCUAGGCCAUUUUGGAUUUUUGAAUUAAAUCAUAUAGUAUUUGCAUUUGGGCAUUUAAAUGCUAUAAAAUAUUUUAAAUGCUCAAAUAAUCCCAAACUGAAAUGUUUACUGUAGGAUAUAUUUCCAACAGUGGUCAUGAGAAGUUGCAUGAUUUUUGGGAUUGAUUUAGUAUUUUUAAUAAAGCCACAAAGUUGCAGAAAAAUAGAAAACAGUGAUUAAAAUAGGAAACAGAGAGAGAGAGAGAGAGGAUACUACCUGGGCCGCUUACCUGUUCAGCCUGGCAGCCCAAGUGGCCGGCCCAGCCCACCACCGCUUUCCCUCCUGUCGUCUUCCUCUUGCCAGUAGGAGCAGCUGCGUGCUCGCACGCGCGCGGCCGAGGAGGCCAGCUCCUUCCUGCCUGGCUGCCUCCUCCUCCCCCGGGACGUCUCCCGCAGCGCCACGCCACCCCCUCGGACCCCUCUCACUCUUCCCCGAGGCCCCCGCCCCUCUGCUCCCUCUCUUUCGCCCGAACCCGAGCGCAACCAUCGCCGCCAACUAGAACCACCGCGGCCACAGGCCCUCCCUCGCUUCUCCGACCAUAUCCAGAGAUCCGCGACGACACAAGGCUACUCCACGACGAAGCAGGCGAGCCCGGAGGCACCGCUGCGACGCCAUCGCCGUCUUCUCCAUCUCCAGCCACCGGAGAUCGCCACCGUCGUUCGGCACCGUCCGCGCGUCCCCCAAGGCCGCCGACCAGCUCUCUGGAUCCGUCAUGAGCUCCUCUACCUAGCCCCCUACCUCCUGUGCUCGAUUACGCCGCGUAGCCACCGCCCCCUUCGAUCCCGAGUGCUCCUUGUCGCUGGCCAUGUCGCCGUCGUGGCUACGGCCGUGCAAGCACGCGUCCGAGCGCACCACCUCAUUCAGUGCGUCCUCAGGAGCCUAACGCACGCACUCCGUCGCCCUGCCGUGCACCGUAGCCCUCUUUUCCUCUCCGCCCGAACUCCGGCGCCGCCGCAAGCUCUGCUCCGGCGAGCUCCGGCCACCCUGCGCCCUGCUGCUGCCUCUGCUCGAUGCGGCCGAGCGAGGGCUUCCUCCUGGUGCCCCCAGGGCGCCAAACGGUGACCCGCACGAGAAACCCGAGCAACUCCGGCGAAACCCUGCAACGUUUUUGGUCGCCGCCGGCUGAACUCCGGCGAGCCAGCGUGGCCGCGUGAUUAGCGCUAAUCACCACCAGCUAACCCUCCCCAGAGCCACUGACGUAUGGGCCCCACGCCCUUAAUUAAUCUUUAAUAUUUUCUGUUAAGUUUUAACCUAACCACCAUGGGCCCACACGUCAGCAUUGACUUUGCUGACGCAGCUGUUGACUGGUCCCACAUGUCAUCCACCCAAACCAGCCCUGUUACACUGACCCGUGGGUCCCAGCCGUCAGGUUUGACCUGGGCUGGCGCCUUUGACUUGCUGACGUCACCCUGACGCACUGCUGACGCAAAUAACUAAUUUCUGGAUUUAACUUAAUUCAGGAAAUUCUAGAAAAUAGUGCUAACUUCUAAAAUUCAUAUAAAUUCAACCGUAACUCAGAAUUAAAUAAUUUAUAUAUGAAAAAUGAUCAUAAAAAUCCAAUCUAUCCAUCUGUACCAUUUUCAUGCAUGUUAGAACAACUUGUGACUACUGUUUAGGACAAAUGUUAUGAAUGGCAUUUAAAUAACCACAUAUGGAGUUUGGAUUUGAAUUUUGGAUUCAAACCAACUUCAUUUAACUUGUUGCUAGUUGCAUUAGCUCAAACCACAGCAUAUUGCCAUGUCACAUUCAUGCAUCAUAUUGUUGCAUUGCAUUGAUUGUGUUUCUUCUUUGUUUGUCGGUAUUUGUCCCCUCUCAGUAGACGACAUUCCGACGAUGAGUUCGAUGACACCGAUGAAGAGCUAUAUUAUCUUUAGAAGUGCCAGGCAAGCAAAACCCCCUUGUUCAUUCCGAUACAAUCCUACUCUCUCACCCUGCUCUCUUUUACUGCAUUAGGACAACAACAAUUCAUCUGUUACUUGCUGCGGUAGCUGAACCUCUUUAUCCUCUGCAUGACCUGUCAUUCCACAGUAAAUAGAUGAAACCCACUAGCAUGAGUAGGAGUUGUUUGAGCCCUGUUGUGCCUACUCAUUCAUGCUUGUUGUCAUGCCUGCUACUGCUUAGAGUUGAGCCAGGUCUGAUUCAUCAAGGAUGAAUCAGAGGCGUGUGAACAUGUCCUACUGUUGAGAGCUAAGUGUGUGAACACGAUUUGGUAAAGGUAGCGGUGAGAGGCCAUGUAGGAGUACAUGGUGGGUUGUCUCAUUGCAGCCGUCCUUAGGAACUGAGUUCUGUGUUUGUGAUCCAUGAUACAGUUACUACCAUGCAUUGGGCCCGAAACCAAUGGACCCUCUCAGCUUCUUAUUCACCCUAGUCCUCUGUCCAGGAGUUGCAAGUAGUUUCUGGUGUUUGUAGUAUGCUGGAGGCCGUGGGCAGCGCUGACCGGAGGGGUGGGCUGUGAUGCGGUAGGCACGUGGCCGGGUAUACCGGGCACCCGUUUGGUGUCACGGAACCCUGUACACAUCGUUUGGGGCUGUGAGCGAAACUUCGGCUGGAUCUCCUCAUGGAUGGAACCCGAAUAGGCGAUAAACCUGGACUAGAGACUUGAGUGUUUAGGUAGGUCGUGGCCGACACCCACGUUGGGCUUCCGCUUGAAGGUUGCCGAGUACAUGUCGUGUAAAUGACGGUAAGUGGUGAGAGCGUGUGUGAAGAAGUACACCCCUGCAGGGUUAACAUCAUCUAUUCGAAUAGCCGUGUCCGCGGUAAAAGACUUCUGGGUUGCCUAUACAGUUCAUAGAAAAGUGAAAGUGGUUACUCUAAAAUGCGCAAGAUAAGCGUGAGUGCUAUGGUUGGUGUUCUCGUAGGGAGACGGGAGCGGAUCCAUAGUGGUGUAUUGAUAUGGUGAAUAUGUGGACUCGUGUGCGCCACCUCAAAAGAGUUACUUGCAUUCGUAGUUCAGGAUAGCCACCGAGUCAAAGCUGGCUUGCUGCAGUCAAACCCCACCAUCCUCUUUGUUGAUAAUGAUGCAUAUGUAGUUAGUUCUGAUGUAAGUCUUGCUGGGUACAUUUGUACUCACGUUUGCCUAUUUUAUGUUUUUGCAGAGAGACGUCAGUCUCGCUAGUAGUUCUGCGUGGUCUUCGACAUUUAGCUUGUUACCUCAGCUACGAUCUUGUGCCCUCGGCAGGAUCUGGUAGAUAGUCAGGCUUCUCAGCCUUUUUCAUUUGUAGAUGUCUGUACUCAGACAUGUUAGCUUCCGCUUGUGCCUUGAUUUGUAUGCUCUGAAUGUUGGGUCAUGAGACCCCUGUUUGUAAUAUCUCGCUCCUCGGAGCCUAAUGAAUACAUUUUUGAGUCGUAGAGUCAUUUUGUGAUGCCAUGUUGUAUUUGCACAUAUCGAGCAUAUUGUGUGUAUGUUAUUGAAAUGCUUGGUAUGUGUGGGAUCUGACUAUCUAGUUGUUUAUCUUUAGUAGCCUCUCUUACCGGGAAAUGUCUCCUAGUGUUUCCACCAAGCCAUGGUAGCUUGCUACUGCUCCGGAACAUUUAGGCUGGCCGGCAUGUGUCCUUCUUCGUUCCUGUGUCUGUCCCUUCGGGGAAAUGUCACGCGAUGAAUACCGGAGUCCUGUUAGCCCGCUACAGCCCGGUUCACCGGAGUCCUGCUAGCCUAGUGCUACAGCCUGGAUUCACUCGCUGAUGACCGACACGUUCGAUGCUGGGUCAUGGAUGCCUGUCCCUGUAAGUUUGUGCCACUUUGGGUUUACGACUAGCCAUGUCAGCCCGGGCUCCUUAUCAUAUGGAUGCUAGCGACACUAUCAUAUACGUGUGCCAAAAGGCGCAAACGGUCCCGGGCAAAGGUAAGGCGACACCCGUGGGAAUACCGUGCGUGAGGCCGCAAAGUGAUAUGAGGUGUUACAUGCUAGAUCGAUGUGGCAUUGAGUCAGGGUCCUGACAGCGUUGGUAUCAGAGCUUGACUGCCUGUAGGAUUACCAAGCCAAACUGGUCGAAGUUGAGUCUAGAAAUUCUUUAGUUAUAUAAGGGAAUUGAUUGUGGGAUGGAACGUAAGGCUCUUUUUACUCCUUAUACCUCAUGACCUUCUGAUCCGAGUCAUCCUCUUCUCUUCUACGGGGAUUAAGAACUAGGCCUUCUCAUCUAUCUAUCAGGAUCACGUGUUACUAAUCCAUAGACUAAUAGGAUUGUGGAUUUAAGCCUCGUUUCCGUUCCUAUUACUUCCAUAUGUUAACUGUUGAUCUCGAAACCUUGAUAUUGUGCUUCUGAGUGGCUAUGCCACCAUUUUUGUAGUGUGUCUCAAAUCUUUUUGAGCAUUUACAGCCGUUAUGCUGUCCGAGUCAUCCCAGGGUUCUAAACAAUCUGAUGCACUUGCAAAUCCUUUCCCUCUAGUUUGAUGUUCCUUUGGGCCAGGUUAAUCACACUAAUUGCUGAGUUGAGGUAUUCUAUUGCCUCGACAUAUAUGUUGGAUCUAUUAUUAUGACCCUAGGUGUUUUAGGGAGUCACCUGGUAAUCUAGCAAUGUUUAAUGUUUCCAGUGUGAAGAUUCUGGCCAUCAUUCUUGAAAGCAUCUCGUGAUGCUACUUAGGAGUAGGUAUUCUAUUCCUGGGUUCUUGAGCCCGAGAUUCACCCUGCUUACUUCAUGUUGAUAGUGUUUGCUAGCUCAUUUAGGUUAUUAGUAACCUUGCGAUAGUCCUCGAGGUCCGUGGUAUAUCAUUCUUCCAAAUACCAUGAACCAUCCUUGACAGGAGUUCCUUUGGACCAAAAGAUCACAAUAAGAGUGCUCUUGAUGAGUUCUUCAUUCUACAUUGUGAAUCUGCCAACUCUACCUUCCUGCAUGGGUUAUCUGGAAGAAAUGUUGAGCUUUGCUCGACAUACUAAUCUAUGCAUCCACAACUCAGAAAAUCAGAUGUUCUUUUGAGUUGUCCCUUUAGUUGUCUUCUGACCGUCGUCUAUCAAUUGAUAGUCAAGAGUAUGCAUGCAUUCGUUCAUCGAUGCCUAUUAUUCUUGUGGUCCGUCAAGCCAUCCUGUUCUGGUAUGACUAGGAGAAACAAACUCCAGUACCUCAUCCAUAUCCAGGAUUGGGUCAAAGCAAUUGUACUUCGCAGAUCGAAAUGCUAAUCCAGCUUUUGAUUCUGUUCCACCCCGAAGUUUUGCCCUCUUUAUGUCAGGAUUGUCAUGAGAAUUGCAUCAUCUCUUAUAAAUUCUUGAUGUAGUGAUACUUCUCACCAUCAUCAUUCAUUCCUCGGUCCUUGUGCCGUUGUAACUGGAAUGUUGACAGGUGAACUAUGAUGUGUGAAAUCAAUACUCUUGGCAACUUUGUUGCUUGGUAAUUAAAGGACAAUAACCUCAUUCUUAGCAUGUUGGUUAUUGAAUCAUCACCCUAAGGAUGAUCGUGCUACCUAGUCCUUAUUUCUUGUGCACUCUUCGAUCAAUGAGUUGGGAUUGUGCCAAUCCCUCGCUCUUUUGAUCAUAUAGUCUUGUCUCGAAAGCAAUAUUUUUCUCAAGCUUAGUUACAUAUCGGUGGUUCGUGAUUUUCCGGAUAUCUUCUUGGAAGUAUUACUAGGUUGUCCCCUGACCAUUAUGUUAAGCUCGUGAUCAAGUUAGUUUUCCUCUAAACCAGUCAUUCUCCAAGAAUCUGUGUUGGAUACCCCUGCGCUAGUUGGUUAAGCCAAACAACAAAUUGGAGAGUUGGAAGAUAAAAGCUUGGCCGACUUAGUUCAUUUUUAGGGAUAUCCUUUUGAGGGUAUGUUGAAGAAAGAUGAUAUCUUCACCGAUUGGUCCCUGUGAUCAGUUGUUGGAGCUAUUGUCCUGCCAAAACUUUGAUUUGAGUGUGGGCUAUUCUCAAAUCGAAUCAGAACCAACGAUGUUCGUAAUGUUGUCUUACUCGUGGAUUUUCCUCGAGCAUACACCAUUAUGUCUUUUGGAUCUGACCAAUACUAUCACCUUGUUCACAUAGUUAUGGAAUUCCAUCCCAUGGGAAUCUGGAUGAAUUGUUGUUGAGCCCAUCGACAACGUCCUUGUCUUCUCCAUAAUCUUGUUGAACAUUAAGCUAGUACUGGAAACUUUUGAAAGCAUUUCUUCAUGCUAGCUCAUGAAGCAUAUGCAUGGAUGGAAGAAGUGACUUCCUCUAAUUCAUGUGCAUCUAAUGUAAGUUGCCGCCGUGAAUUCGAUAAAGUCAAUGUUGCUUCCUCUGGAAUCAUCCCAAGUUAGUCAUGCACGUGCGAAGCUCCCUAUGGUUUGAUAGGUUGGCUGCCUCCACUCCAUAUGUGUUCCUAGCACACCAAGCCACUGAUUGACUUGUUCAAGGAGAAGAAGUCCCUUCGUAAGAGCUAAUCAUAUGACUUAUGCAAGGACUUCGUUAUUCGCAAUGAUGGUUCCCCACCUGAACUCGGUAGUGUUUAAUUAUAAGACUACUACUUGGUCAUGCUUGUCUGAGACAGCGUGUUCACAUGUGUGUAGCAGAACCAGCUCAUGUUUUGGAGCUUACUACCGUAGUCCAUUUGCCUAGAAUCUCGCAAUGUCGUCUCGUCGAUUUGUGUUGCAAACUUUCAUUCUUCUUUCUAGACUUGAUGAGUCUGGAAUAUUCUGACACCAACCAGAUCUGAAUCUCAGGCAGACUUGAUGGUUGGAACGUUUCCCAAGAACUACAAUAUUGGUCUCUUUGUAACCCGGUAAAGUGGAUGUUGUGGCCAACACACCCAGCCGGAAGACCCAUUAUUGUAGUAUCUUGAUUGAGAAAGUUGGCCACCUCCCCAUAAGGAUCUCGUAGAAUUUAUUCUAGUAGUUGUUCCUUAUGUAUUCUUGAGCUUCCGAAGUCCGAACUGUUACUUGAUGUUCUAGAUACCAAAACGUUUCAACAAAUGGAUUGCGCUAGCACAUCAAGGAGAACAUUAGAAGCGGAGUGCUAAAUGUUUCUCGGUCGAUCAUCCAGAUUUUGUCCCCUUGGUCUCGCUAAGGUGAAAUCUGAGAAAGUGUUAUCUUCCUUUGCAUCUGCAUCAUCCAUCGCUAUUCAUCAUGGUAGUAUGUUGUGUUGCCAGGAUCCUUGACACGGCUGUUGGUAAAACCUUGAUGAAUAUGGAAAUGCUCAAGUUCUUGAGAGCACGCGCAAGCGCUAGGUGUUAUCAUCGGCACUAACUGGGAUUGCUCUCAGUUUCCUCGAUUAUGCUAUAACUUUUCAAACAGUGGACUCACUCUCUACUGUUGAGCUUCUCCCCAGUUACUAAAAUCAUUCCUUGUGUUGUUUUCAACAAGGUAAUCCACAUCAUCCAUUCUAGUCCAAGCAUGUUAUUCUACCGAACUCCUCCAACUGAUCGUUUGUGAUUUGCCUUAAGCUAGUAUAAAGAGUUUCAAUGAUCUCUGAAUCAAAGGUAAUUCUUUUUGCCACUUAAGGGGAUAUUUCCACGAGUCACCUCCUCCAAGAUGUCUUGUUAUGUUAUCAUGGCAAUCCAACUCCUCGCUAUGUUGACAACCAUUCACCAACCUCUUAAGUCUGGAAUUGAUGCCUACCUAGCGAACCCUCGUCCUUUGUUCCACUCCAUCCCUCUAGAUGUGUGUUUUGUGUCUCAACUUGAGUGAUGUUGCUAUGUCUCAUUCCAUGAGUUGAUCCUAAGUUGUUUGAUCUUCGAGAAGAUCAGUUCUUCUAGAGUUUUCCUUUCCUCUUCUUGUCAUGUUAGUUGGAGUUCUCAGAGGAAGACUUCGAGUCAAAGAUGGUGAUUGAAUGAACGUUCAUUUGAAGUGCAACCUGGGUCGUGAAGAUUGCGUUAGUUGCGUUUCCCCUUCAUGCUACCCUAUGCUUGAAUCUCGGGACGAGAUUCUCGUUUAGUGGGGGUGAGUUGUCACAUCCCUAGUUCUGGUAUGCACUAGGCUAGCCCUUCAUGUGUGUAUCAUGUUUAAAUUUCUCAGAAACUUGAAAUGGGGAUUUCUCAAACCCUAGCACCAGAUCAAAUCAACUAGGUUCAAAUAAAAAUAUUCUCAAUACCCCCAAAAUGAUCUUCAGAAAAGUUCAUUAUUUUUGGAUUGGUCUAGAACCUCUCCCAAAAAUGGUGCACAUUUUUCUAGGCCAUUCUGGAUUUUUGAAUUAAAUCAUAUAGUAUUUGCAUUUGGGCAUUUAAAUGCUAUAAAAUAUUUUAAAUGCUCAAAUAAUCCCAAACUGAAAUGUUUACUGUAGGAUAUAUUUCCAACAGUGGUCAUGAGAAGUUGCAUGAUUUUUGGGAUUGAUUUAGUAUUUUUAAUAAAGCCACAAAGUUGCAGAAAAAUAGAAAAC
Molecule: long non-coding RNA, 8463 nt
Filed under: Triticum aestivum (bread wheat)
Lineage: Eukaryota; Viridiplantae; Streptophyta; Magnoliopsida; Poales; Poaceae
Description: long non-coding RNA (TAES_LNC015846)
Source: RNAcentral